Molecule: ribosomal RNA, 468 nt
Filed under: uncultured bacterium
Lineage: Bacteria
Description: partial 16S ribosomal RNA
Rfam family: Bacterial small subunit ribosomal RNA
Source: RNAcentral
GACGAACGCUGGCGGCGUGCUUAACACAUGCAAGUCGAACGGAAAGGCCCUGCUUUUGCGGGGUGCUCGAGUGGCGAACGGGUGAGUAACACGUGAGUAACCUGCCCUUGACUUUGGGAUAACUUCAGGAAACUGGGGCUAAUACCGGAUAGGAGCUCCUGCUGCAUGGUGGGGGUUGGAAAGUUUCGGCGGUUGGGGAUGGACUCGCGGCUUAUCAGCUUGUUGGUGGGGUAGUGGCUUACCAAGGCUUUGACGGGUAGCCGGCCUGAGAGGGUGACCGGCCACAAUGGGACUGAGAUACGGCCCAGACUGCUACGGGAGGCAGCAGUGGGGAAUAUUGCACAAUGGGCGGAAGCCUGAUGCAGCAACGCCGCGUGCGGGAUGACGGCCUUCGGGUUGUAAACCGCUUUCGCCUGUGACGAAGCGUGAGUGACGGUAAUGGGUAAAGAAGCACCGGCUAACUACGUG